RNAcentral lists this ribosomal RNA (253 nucleotides) under uncultured bacterium. Its description in RNAcentral is "partial 16S ribosomal RNA". It matches the Rfam family "Bacterial small subunit ribosomal RNA", at positions 524 to 776 of the family's 1533-position model. The record is from RNAcentral.
UACGUAGGUGGCAAGCGAUACUCGGAAUCACUAGGCGUAAAGCGCAGGUAGGCGGUUCGGUAAGUCUUUUGUGAAAGCUCCUGGCUUAACUGGGAGAGGUCAAAGGAAACUACCGGACUAGAGUUUGGUAGGGGAUACUGGAAUUCCUGGUGUAGCGGUGAAAUGCGUAGAUAUCAGGAGGAAUACCUAUGGCGAAAGCAGGUAUCUGGGCCACAACUGACGCUGAGCUGCGAAAGCUAGGGGAGCAAACAGG